RNAcentral lists this ribosomal RNA (507 nucleotides) under uncultured bacterium. RNAcentral's name for it is "partial 16S ribosomal RNA". It matches the Rfam family "Bacterial small subunit ribosomal RNA", at positions 28 to 507 of the family's 1533-position model. The record is from RNAcentral.
GACGAACGCUGGCGGCGUGCUUAACACAUGCAAGUCGAACGGGCCUUGUCCCCUUUUUUUUGGGGGUGGGGUUAGUGGCGAACGGGUGAGUAACACGUGAGUAACCUGCCCCUCACUUCUGGAUAACCGCUUGAAAGGGUGGCUAAUACGGGGUGUUCUGGCCUGCUCGCAUGGGUGGGUUUGGAAAGUUUCGACCGGUUUUGGUUGUUUUGGUGGGGGGUGGGCUCGCGGCCUCUCAGCUUGUUGGUGGGGUGGUGGCCUGCCAAGGCUUUGACGGGUAGCCGGCCUGAGAGGGUGGGCGGUCACACUGGGACUGAGACACGGCCCAGACUCCUACGGGAGGCAGCAGUGGGGAAUAUUGCACAAUGGGCGCAAGCCUGAUGCAGCGACGCCGCGUGAGGGAUGGAGGCCUUCGGGUUGUGAACCUCUUUCGCCAGUGAAGAAGGUCCUGCUCUUUGUGGUGGGGUUGACGGUAGCUGGGUUAAUGAAGCGCCGGCUAACUACGUG